UGCUUUGGUUGUACAAGGUUUAUGCCUCCACCUUUCUUUUAUGGAAUAAAUAUGUUUGUUCUAUAGUUCAUUUUGAAGUAUAAGAAGGUUAUAAUUUUGUCCAAAUAUAGUGGAUACUAACACAAUUAUAAAAUGUCUCCAUUGUUACUUGAAGAAAGCAUAAUAUGGCAGUUCGGAUUAUAAGCUUAAUUUAGGUAAUUACUGAUUGGAUGUCAUGUUGUGCAGAAUGUUUUGAUUGACACAGUACUUGAACUUGGAAUAAGAGUGACUGUAGCAAUGGGAACCAAUCGCAAUUUAGACGCUAGUAAUAAAUAAUUUUUUGUUCUUUUUGUUGUUUCUUCUUUUUGUUUUGUUUUGUUUU
Non-coding RNA from Camellia sinensis, 361 nucleotides. Lineage: Eukaryota; Viridiplantae; Streptophyta; Magnoliopsida; Ericales; Theaceae. The record is from RefSeq and is a predicted model, not a curated record.